UUUACAAUGGAGAGUUUGAUCCUGGCUCAGGAUGAACGCUAGCGGCAGGCUUAAUACAUGCAAGUCGAGGGGCAGCAUGGUGUGUAGCAAUACACACUGAUGGCGACCGGCAAACGGGUGCGGAACACGUACACAACUUACCCGGAACUGGGGGAUAGCCUUCCGAAAGGAAGAUUAAUACCCCAUAAGAUAGUGGAGUGGCAUCACUCAGCUAUUAAAGCUCAGGCGGUUCUGGAUGGGUGUGCGGCUGAUUAGGUAGUUGGCGGGGUAACGGCCCACCAAGCCUGCGAUCAGUAACUGGUGUGAGAGCACGACCAGUCACACGGGCACUGAGACACGGGCCCGACUCCUACGGGAGGCAGCAGUAAGGAAUAUUGGUCA
This 381-nucleotide ribosomal RNA is filed under the name Flaviaesturariibacter aridisoli. RNAcentral describes it as "bacterial SSU rRNA". It matches the Rfam family "Bacterial small subunit ribosomal RNA", at positions 1 to 370 of the family's 1533-position model. The record is from RNAcentral. Lineage: Bacteria; Pseudomonadati; Bacteroidota; Chitinophagia; Chitinophagales; Chitinophagaceae.